Molecule: ribosomal RNA, 331 nt
Filed under: uncultured bacterium
Lineage: Bacteria
Description: partial 16S ribosomal RNA
Rfam family: Bacterial small subunit ribosomal RNA
Source: RNAcentral
CCUACGGGAGGCAGCAGUGAGGAAUAUUGGUCAAUGGACGCAAGUCUGAACCAGCCAUGCCGCGUGCAGGAAGACGGCCCUAUGAGUUGUAAACUGCUUUUGUACGGGGGUAAACGCAGAUACGCGUACCUGUCUGAAAGUACCGUACGAAUAAGCAUCGGCUAACUCCGUGCCAGCAGCCGCGGUAAUACGGAGGAUUCAAGCGUUAUCCGGAUUUAUUGGGUUUAAAGGGUGCGUAGGCGGUGGGCUAAGUUAGAGGUGAAAUCCCGAGGCUCAACUUCGGAUGUGCCUUUGAUACUGGCCGGCUAGAGAGGAGUAGCGGUAGGCGGAA